This 826-nucleotide ribosomal RNA is filed under the name uncultured Methanothermococcus sp. Its description in RNAcentral is "bacterial SSU rRNA". It matches the Rfam family "Archaeal small subunit ribosomal RNA", at positions 23 to 856 of the family's 1478-position model. The record is from RNAcentral. Lineage: Archaea; Methanobacteriati; Methanobacteriota; Methanococci; Methanococcales; Methanococcaceae.
AGUACUGCUUUGGGGUUCGACUAAGCCAUGCGAGUCUAUGGACUUCGGUCCAUGGCGGACGGCUCAGUAACACGUGGCUAACCUACCCUCGGGUGGGGGAUAACCUCGGGAAACUGAGGAUAAUACCCCAUAGGAGAAGAGGUCUGGAAUGAUCCUUCUCUGAAAACAUAUGUGCCCGAGGAUGGGGCUGCGUCUGAUUAGGUAGUUGGUGGGGUAACGGCCCACCAAGCCUACGAUCAGUACGGGCCUUGAGAGAGGCAGCCCGGAGAUGGGGACUGAGACACGGCCCCAGGCCCUACGGGGCGCAGCAGGCGCGAAACCUCCGCAAUGCACGAAAGUGCGACGGGGGGACCCCAAGUGCUUACGCACUGCGUAGGCUUUUCUAAAGUGUAAAAAGCUUUAGGAAUAAGGGCUGGGCAAGUCCGGUGCCAGCAGCCGCGGUAACACCGGCGGCCCGAGUGGUGACCACUUUUAUUGGGCCUAAAGCGUCCGUAGCCGGUCCAGUAAGUCCCUGUUUAAAUCCUACGGCUUAACCGUAGGGCUGGCAGGGAUACUGCUGGACUUGGGACCGGGAGAGGGCGAGGGUACUUCAGGGGUAGCGGUGAAAUGUGUUGAUCCCUGGAGGACCACCUAUGGCGAAGGCACUCGCCUGGAACGGGUCCGACGGUGAGGGACGAAAGCCAGGGGCGCGAACCGGAUUAGAUACCCGGGUAGUCCUGGCCGUAAACUCUGCGGACUAGGUGUUAGGUAGGCCCCGUGCCUAUCUAGUGCCGAANGGAAGCCGUUAAGUCCGCCGCCUGGGGAGUACGGUCGCAAGACUGAAACU